CGGCUCUCCUUGUCCUCUUUCUCCACACAGGACGAUUUUGUGCAGUUUCGGCGUCAAUAUUUGUGUUUUUCAGGUCAUUUUGGACCGUUGUCAGCCAAGUAGCAGGGCGUCUUCCACGGCCCCGUUUCGUCGUCGUACGUGACCGUACCAGCGUAGUCGCUUUUCCUUCAGCUUUUCUUCAAUAGGAGCGAUUUUAAAACUGCCUCUCACGUAUUCGUUACGGAUCCUAUCCCUCCGGGUGACUCCAGCUGACCAGCGAAGUAUG
Cydia strobilella is the source of this 265-nucleotide long non-coding RNA. RefSeq lists it as uncharacterized. The record is from RefSeq and is a predicted model, not a curated record. NCBI's taxonomy places the organism in Eukaryota, Metazoa, Arthropoda, Insecta, Lepidoptera, Tortricidae. The transcript is spliced from 2 exons.